GCUGGGCAUGGUGGGGCAUGCCUGUAGUCUCAGCUACUCGGGAGGCUGAGGUGGGAUGAUCACUUGAGCCCAGGAGGUGGAGGCUGCAGUGAGCUGGGAUUGUACCACUGAACUCCACCCUGGGCAACAGAGUGAGACCCUGUCUUGU
This 148-nucleotide non-coding RNA is filed under the name Nomascus leucogenys (northern white-cheeked gibbon). The record is from Rfam by way of RNAcentral. Lineage: Eukaryota; Metazoa; Chordata; Mammalia; Primates; Hylobatidae.